AGUGACGGACGGGUGAGUAACGCGUGAGAAUCUGCCUUCAGGAUGGGGACAACAGUUGGAAACGACUGCUAAUACCCAAUAUGCCUACGGGUGAAACCUUUUUUGGCCUGAAGAUGAGCUCGCGUCUGAUUAGCUAGUUGGUGGUGUAAUAGACUCACCAAGGCAACGAUCAGUAGCUGGUCUGAUAGGAUGAGCAGCCACACUGGGACUGAGACACGGCCCAGACUCCUACGGGAGGCAGCAGUGGGGAAUUUUCCGCAAUGGGCGAAAGCCUGACGGAGCAAUACCGCGUGAGGGAGGAAGGUUCUUGGAUUGUAAACCUCUUUUCUCAGGGAAGAAAAAAAUGACGGUACCUGAGGAAUAAGCAUCGGCUAACUCCGUGCCAGCAGCCGCGGUAAUACGGGGGAUGCAAGCGUUAUCCGGAAUUAUUGGGCGUAAAGAGUCCGUAGGUGGUCUUACAAGUCGACUGUCAAAGCCCGCAGCUUAACUGCGGAGAGGCGGUGGAAACUGUGAGACUUGAGUAUGGUAGGGGUAGAGGGAAUUCCCAGUGUAGCGGUGAAAUGCGUAGAUAUUGGGAAGAACACCGGUGGCGAAAGCGCUCUACUGGACCAUAACUGACACUGAGGGACGAAAGCCAAGGUAGCGAAAGGGAUUAGAUACCCC
This 663-nucleotide ribosomal RNA is filed under the name uncultured bacterium. RNAcentral's name for it is "bacterial SSU rRNA". It matches the Rfam family "Bacterial small subunit ribosomal RNA", at positions 94 to 788 of the family's 1533-position model. The record is from RNAcentral.